GCUGCCCUGGUGUAGUUGGUUAUCACGUCAGUCUAACACACUGAAGGUCGCCGGUUCAAGUCCGGCGGGCAGUA
Molecule: transfer RNA, 74 nt
Filed under: Pseudocercospora fijiensis CIRAD86
Lineage: Eukaryota; Fungi; Ascomycota; Dothideomycetes; Mycosphaerellales; Mycosphaerellaceae
Description: tRNA-Val (AAC) (tRNA-Val-AAC-1-1)
Rfam family: tRNA
About the family: Transfer RNA (tRNA) molecules are approximately 80 nucleotides in length. Their secondary structure includes four short double-helical elements and three loops (D, anti-codon, and T loops). Further hydrogen bonds mediate the characteristic L-shaped molecular structure. tRNAs have two regions of fundamental functional importance: the anti-codon, which is responsible for specific mRNA codon recognition, and the 3' end, to which the tRNAs corresponding amino acid is attached (by aminoacyl-tRNA synthetases). tRNAs cope with the degeneracy of the genetic code in two manners: having more than one tRNA (with a specific anti-codon) for a particular amino acid; and 'wobble' base-pairing, i.e. permitting non-standard base-pairing at the 3rd anti-codon position.
Source: Rfam by way of RNAcentral